Molecule: long non-coding RNA, 844 nt
Filed under: Helianthus annuus (common sunflower)
Lineage: Eukaryota; Viridiplantae; Streptophyta; Magnoliopsida; Asterales; Asteraceae
Source: RNAcentral
ACCCUAAAUUAUUCUUCCUCACAAUUCCUCUCAUCUCUCAAGGUGAUUCUUUAUCUUACAAUAUUCCCUUCAUCAUCUUUGUGUGUUCUUGCACAUCUUCAUUUUCUUCAAGGUAAAGUGGCGGCUCUUCUCUCAAACCCUAAUUUUCAUCGAAAACUUGAUACAGAUCUAUCGCAAACCCUAAAAUUCACAGCUUCCCAUUCACGCUUCUUUCUUAGAAUAAUAUGCUCCAUUCAAAGGUUAGGUGAUCUAGAUUUUUUGGUUCUUCUUCUUUCAAACCCUUAAUCUCCUCUAAAGUUGUGUCUUCAAUAUUCCUUCCUCGCUCUCUGGAUCUCCCUGUAAUUGUGUAUGAUUGAAACAUUGGAGCAUUUGAUUACGGAAUAUGAUCGGGUUCAAAUAAAACUGAGGUACAACAUCAGAUAGUGCUUUUUGUUGGAAUGACAUGUGGUAUAAUGAUGCUUCUCUUUACAAGCUUCUGGGGAGAAUGGGCACUCACUGGUAAUAACAUCUCUCUUUUCAUUGUCAUGUAAUUGAUGCCUUUAACCCAGGCUAUUGAUAUUGAUAAUAAUUAGACUUAAUUAAAAACACGAGUAUUGUUUUUUGUUUAAAAGUAGUACAAGCAAUAUAAAGGAUCUUGAUCUUUGUAGCACAAAUAACACCAUGUUCCUUGACAUUCAUUGUUGGUGUCUGUUGUAGUUUUUUGAUCUUCAAUUGAGGCUAUCGGAAGUUGACGAGUCACCGGUGUCUAUUGUAGUUGUUUUGCUUUGUUGCCUGCAUUACUCAUUGCACUAGGGCAACCCGGAUGGUCAUGUGGUUUCACAUGGCAACCGUAAGUAUGCAGCCA